This 749-nucleotide ribosomal RNA is filed under the name uncultured marine bacterium. RNAcentral's name for it is "bacterial SSU rRNA". It matches the Rfam family "Bacterial small subunit ribosomal RNA", at positions 14 to 794 of the family's 1533-position model. The record is from RNAcentral.
UGAUCCUGGCUCAGAACGAACGCUGGCGGCAGGCUUAACACAUGCAAGUCGAACGGUCUCUUCGGAGGCAGUGGCAGACGGGUGAGUAACGCGUGGGAAUCUACCUAUCUCUACGGAACAACAGUUGGAAACGACUGCUAAUACCGUAUACGCCCCCCUUUGUGAUUAUUGGGUGGGGAAAGAUUUAUCGGAGAUAGAUGAGCCCGCGUUAGAUUAGCUAGUUGGUGAGGUAAUGGCUCACCAAGGCGACGAUCUAUAGCUGGUCUGAGAGGAUGAUCAGCCACACUGGGACUGAGACACGGCCCAGACUCCUACGGGAGGCAGCAGUGGGGGAUAUUGGACAAUGGGCGCAAGCCUGAUCCAGCCAUGCCGCGUGUGUGAUGAAGGCCCUAGGGUUGUAAAGCACUUUCAACGGUGAAGAUAAUGACGGUAACCGUAGAAGAAGCCCCGGCUAACUUCGUGCCAGCAGCCGCGGUAAUACGAAGGGGGCUAGCGUUGUUCGGAAUUACUGGGCGUAAAGCGUACAUAGGCGGACUAUUAAGUUAGGGGUGAAAUCCCAGGGCUCAACCCUGGAACUGCCUCUAAUACUGGUAGUCUUGAGUUCGAGAGAGGUGAGUGGAAUUCCGAGUGUAGAGGUGAAAUUCGUAGAUAUUCGGAGGAACACCAGUGGCGAAGGCGGCUCACUGGCUCGAUACUGACGCUGAGGUACGAAAGUGUGGGGAGCAAACAGGAUUAGAUACCCUGGUAGU